Molecule: long non-coding RNA, 1093 nt
Organism: Cyprinus carpio carpio
Lineage: Eukaryota; Metazoa; Chordata; Actinopteri; Cypriniformes; Cyprinidae
Source: Ensembl
UGGGGGCAUCAGAAUGGUCUGAAUUUGGGCGGCAGCUACUUUAUCAUAUAGUCAGCUCCACCCAGAACUCUCUCUAUCACACACACACACUUUCUGUCAUUCACUUGACUGUCAGUCACCUGAGCUGUCAAACAGCAUAAAUGAUGAACUGAGAACAAGAUGAGACAAGACAUCAUGCUCAGCAGACUGAUACUGCUGUCUGCCCUCUGUAUGGCAACAUCUGCAUCUCUGGGUAAUGCACAGUGCAAUGCAACACACUCAGAUGAAACAGGAUCAUGCAGUCUCACUACUGAUAGAACCAGCAAUCAAACUUUGAACAGCUGUGAUCUGAAUAAUCUGAAAAACUUCAGCUCUCUGAUUUUAAAUGCAGUGGAUGACACUGUACACCAUCUACAAUGUAUAUCAAACAGCCCAGCAAGUUUUCCUCAAGAAAAACUUCACAUGCUCCAAACUGAGCUUGGAAAGAUCAUUGCAUCAACACUAAAUGUUAUGGUUCACCUUGGAGUUUCUUCAAACGAGGACAUUGCUGACAGUUUUGGUGCUUUACACACACUGACUGCAGAAAAUGUGCAAAACAUGGAGUUUGUUCAGUCAUGGAUCUGUGUCAGGCUUAUUCCACUCCUCCCGUUUAUUACCACAGAGUUUAUAUCCAACAUGAGCAAGAUAAACUUUUCAUGUGUCAGCUACCAGACAAUAGUCAAAACACUCAGUCAGCAGGUGAAUCUGAUCAAUGGAACAUCUAAGACCUCCAUCUACACCCAAUUCAUUCAGCCAUUCUUGUCUAGACAACUUUCAGAUCCUGCAUGUCUUUCUAACAUUAUGAGCAGUGCUGAAUGGCUUGUGAAAAAUUUUGGUGAAUUUUCAUUCUACGCUACCUUAAAGGAUCUACAAACUCUGAAUGUAAAUUUUUCCAGUCUGGCAGCUUUGGAAUCCCUGUCACCUGACCAGAAAGCAGAGCUGCUGUUGGAUCCGUCCACCGGUGCUCUUGAAAAUGUGACCGUGGUGAAGGAGGUGUUGAGCAGCAUCCUAAAAGCCCCAGAUGAGGAGCAGCUAGAGAAAUUCUUUGAAACGUUUGUGGAGGUCAGCAAGGAGG